CGAGAACACACGCUGAUCCGACUGAAGCAGAACCUUCUCUGGAGAAAGUGAGAGAGAGGAACAACAAUGGAGUGAAAGCAGCAAUAUCAGGGAAUACCAAAAGGAUAAACAGUGAGCUACAACAGAAAGAGCAGAAUCUCUGUCAUCUGGGACUGACUGAUGAGGGUUUCAACUGUCAACAGACUGUGGGAUGAGAAUCACACACAGCAGAGCUUCUGUGUAACAUCAUUUCACUCCGUUAUCAUCUCUCUGUUACUCUAUUUCUCAUCACGUCUCCCAGGGAACACACAAAGGGAGGAAGUCGAGGAAAACCACGUCAUGUUGGGCUGGAAAAACGGCUGCAUGGAUAAAAACUUGCCCGAGUUGAUUGAUUCAAAAUGUAGAUGAGAGUUUAUAGAGCAUCGCUCUGUCUUUUUCUGGCUCUCGUUUUGUUUUUAGGAGGGUGAAUAAAGGACGUGAUUGUGCGAGUAUAAAUAA
Molecule: long non-coding RNA, 477 nt
Organism: Onychostoma macrolepis
Lineage: Eukaryota; Metazoa; Chordata; Actinopteri; Cypriniformes; Cyprinidae
Exons: 2
Source: RefSeq, a predicted model, not a curated record